This 404-nucleotide ribosomal RNA is filed under the name Actinomycetes bacterium. Its description in RNAcentral is "Actinobacteria bacterium partial 16S ribosomal RNA". It matches the Rfam family "Bacterial small subunit ribosomal RNA", at positions 355 to 776 of the family's 1533-position model. Lineage: Bacteria; Bacillati; Actinomycetota; Actinomycetes. The record is from RNAcentral.
UGGGGAAUAUUGGACAAUGGGCGCAAGCCUGAUCCAGCCAUGCCGCGUGAGUGAUGAAGGCCCUAGGGUUGUAAAGCUCUUUCACCGGUGAAGAUAAUGACGGUAACCGGAGAAGAAGCCCCGGCUAACUUCGUGCCAGCAGCCGCGGUAAUACGAAGGGGGCUAGCGUUGUUCGGAUUUACUGGGCGUAAAGCGCACGUAGGCGGACUUUUAAGUCAGGGGUGAAAUCCCGGGGCUCAACCCCGGAACUGCCUUUGAUACUGGAAGUCUUGAGUAUGGUAGAGGUGAGUUGAAUUCCGAGUGUAGAGGUGAAAUUCGUAGAUAUUCGGAGGAACACCAGUGGCGAAGGCGGCUCACUGGACCAUUACUAACGCUGAGGUGCGAAAGCGUGGGGAGCAAACAGG